Molecule: ribosomal RNA, 1596 nt
Filed under: human gut metagenome
Description: bacterial LSU rRNA
Rfam family: Bacterial large subunit ribosomal RNA
Source: RNAcentral
GAACAAGUACCGUGAGGGAAAGGUGAAAAGAACCCCGGGAGGGGAGUGAAAUAGAGAAUCUGAAACCAUAUGCUUACAAAAAGUUCGAGCCCGUUAAAGGGUGAGAGCGUGCCUUUUGCAGAAUGAGCCGGCGAGUUAUGGUAUUGUGCAAGGUUAAGUAGAAAAUACGGAGCCGAAGCGAAAGCGAGUCUUAAAAGGGCGAAAAAGUACAAUGCUGUAGACCCGAAACUGAGUGAUCUAGCCAUGAGCAGGUUGAAGUGUAGGUAACACUACAUGGAGGACCGAACCAGGGUACUAUGUAACGUGCUUGGAUGACUUGUGGUUAGCGGUGAAAUUCCAAUCGAACUCAGAGAUAGCUGGUUCUCCCCGAAAUAGGUUUAGGCCUAGCCUUGAAGAAUUUCCUCUGGAGGUAGAGCACUGAAUGUGGAAUGGCCGCGUCUAGCGGUACUGACUGCAAUCAACCUCCGAAUGCCAGAGUAGUUAGCUUCAGGAGUCAGUUUAUGGGUGAUAACGUCCAUAUGCGAGAGAAAAACAAUUCAGACCACCAGUUAAGGUCCCAAAAUAUAUGUUAAGUGGGAAAGGAUGUGGAGUUGCACGAACAGCUAGGAGGUUGGCUCAGAAGCAGCCAUCCUUUAAAGAGUGCGUAAUAGCUCACUAGUCGAGUGGCUCUGCGCCGAAAAUGUACCGGGGCUAAACAUAUUACCGAAACUGUGGAUUUAUGCGAUAGCAUAAGUGGUAGGGGAGCGUUCUAAGGGCGACGAAGAUAGAUCGAGAGGACUAUUGGAGCGCUUAGAAGUGAGAAUGCCGGUGUGAGUAACGUAAGGUAGGUGAGAAUCCUACCCACUGAUUGACCAAGGAUUCCAGGGUCAAGUUCGUCUACCCUGGGUAAGUCAGGACCUAAGGCGAGGCUGAGAAGCGUAGUCGAUGGACAACAGGUUUAUAUUCCUGUACUAUUUAUAGGACUGAAGGAGUGACAAAGGAAGCUAGUAAGAGCCAUUUAAUGGAUUAUGGUCUAAGCACAAAGACUGAUACAUAGGAAAAUCCGUGAUAUCGAACGGUUGAAGUGUGAUGGCGAAGCAGUCUACGGACAGCGAAGUCUUAUGAGGCUAAACUUUUUAAAAAAGCUUCUAAAGAUAUGCUAUAAAUACCUGUACUAAGAACCAACGCAGGUGGUCAAGGAGAGAAUCCUAAGGUGAGCGAGAGAACUAUGGUUAAGGAACUCGGCACAAUGAUCCCGUAACUUCGGAAUAAGGGAAGGUCUUGAAAAAGACCCGCAGUGAAUAGGCCCAAGCGACUGUUUACCAAAAACACAGGUUUCUGCAAAAGCGUAAGCUGAAGUAUAGGAGCUGACGCCUGCCCAGUGCUGGAAGGUUAAGAUGAUUUGUAAGAUGGACGAAAGUCGAUAACAUCGAAGCAAUGAAUUGAAGCCCCAGUGAACGGCGGCGAUAACUAUAAUCGUCCAAAGGUAGCGAAAUUCCUUGUCAGGUAAGUUCUGACCCGCACGAAAGGCGUAAUGAUCUGGACACUGUCUCAACAGCCCACCCGGCGAAAUUGUAGUACCGGUGAAGAUGCCGGUUACCCGCGACAAGACGGAAA